GUCCAGACUCCUACGGGAGGCAGCAGUGAGGAAUAUUGGUCAAUGGCCGAGAGGCUGAACCAGCCAAGUCGCGUGAGGGAAGACGGCCCUACGGGUUGUAAACCUCUUUUGUCGGGGAGCAAAGAGAGUCACGUGUGACUCAUUGAGAGUACCCGAAGAAAAAGCAUCGGCUAACUCCGUGCCAGCAGCCGCGGUAAUACGGAGGAUGCGAGCGUUAUCCGGAUUUAUUGGGUUUAAAGGGUGCGUAGGCGGGCUUUUAAGUCAGCGGUAAAAAUUCGGGGCUCAACCCCGUCCGGCCGUUGAAACUGGGGGCCUUGAGUGGGCGAGAAGAAGGCGGAAUGCGUGGUGUAGCGGUGAAAUGCAUAGAUAUCACGCAGAACUCCGAUUGCGAAGGCAGCAUACCGGCGCCCGACUGACGCUGAAGCACGAAAGCGUGGGUAUCGAACAGGAUUAGAUACCCGAGUAC
This 466-nucleotide ribosomal RNA is filed under the name uncultured bacterium. RNAcentral's name for it is "bacterial SSU rRNA". It matches the Rfam family "Bacterial small subunit ribosomal RNA", at positions 329 to 793 of the family's 1533-position model. The record is from RNAcentral.